Molecule: ribosomal RNA, 516 nt
Filed under: uncultured bacterium
Lineage: Bacteria
Description: partial 16S ribosomal RNA
Rfam family: Bacterial small subunit ribosomal RNA
Source: RNAcentral
AACGAACGCUGGCGGCGUGCUUAACACAUGCAAGUCGAACGCGAAAGGGACUUCGGUCCUGAGUAAAGUGGCGCACGGGUGAGUAACGCGUGGAUAAUCUACCCAAUGAUCUGGGAUAACAUCUCGAAAGGGGUGCUAAUACCGGAUAAGACCACGGAGUCUCUGGACUCCGCGGUAAAAGGUGGGGACCUUCGGGCCUACCGUCAUCGGAUGAGUCCGCGUACCAUUAGCUAGUUGGUGGGGUAAUGGCCCACCAAGGCAACGAUGGUUAGCUGGUCUGGGAGGAUGAUCAGCCACACUGGAACUGGGACACGGUCCAGACUCCUACGGGAGGCAGCAGUGGGGAAUUUUGCGCAAUGGGGGAAACCCUGACGCAGCAACGCCGCGUGAGUGAUGAAGGCUUUCGGGUCGUAAAGCUCUGUCAGAAGGGAAGAAAUGUGGGUGGCUAAUAUCCAUACCACUUGACGGUACCUUCAAAGGAAGCACCGGCUAACUCCGUGCCAGCCGCCGCGGUAA